GACGAACGCUGGCGGCGUGCUUAACACAUGCAAGUCGAGCGAUGAAUUUUCUUCGGAAAUGGAUUAGCGGCGAACGGGUGAGGAACACGUGAAGAAUCUGCCCUCCACUUUGGGAUAACACAGGGAAACCUGUGCUAAUACCGAAUAUUGAAACAUAAGUGGCAUCACUGAGUUUUGAAAGAAUUUCGGUGGAGGAUGACUUCGCGGCCUAUCAGCUAGUUGGUGAGGUAAUGGCUCACCAAGGCAACGACGGGUAGCCGGCGUUAGAGGGCGACCGGCCACACUGGGACUGAGACACGGCCCAGACUCGCGCUGGGGGCAGGAGUGGGGAAUAUUGGGGAAUGGAGGAAACUCUGACCCAGCGACGCCGCGUGCGGGAUGAAGGCCUUCGGGUUGUAAACCGCUUUCAGUAGGGAAGAAGCGAAAGUGACGGUACCUACAAAAGAAGCACCGGCUAACUAUGUGCCAGCCGCCGCGGUAA
Molecule: ribosomal RNA, 481 nt
Filed under: uncultured bacterium
Lineage: Bacteria
Description: partial 16S ribosomal RNA
Rfam family: Bacterial small subunit ribosomal RNA
Source: RNAcentral